Molecule: long non-coding RNA, 1704 nt
Organism: Taeniopygia guttata (zebra finch)
Lineage: Eukaryota; Metazoa; Chordata; Aves; Passeriformes; Estrildidae
Source: Ensembl
AUGCGGGGGGCGGGGCCAGCGCGGGGGGCGGGGCUUGCGGCGCAGUGGGCGGGGCUUACAGAAAGGGGCGUGGUUUGGGCACAGAAGGGGCGUGGCCUGAGCGGUGGGCGGGGCUUAGGAGGGUGGGACAGAAAGGGGCGGGGCUUGGGAAAGGGGGCGGGGCCUGGGGGGGCUCCCGAUGAUCCCAGCCCCCCCCACCGGCCCGGGACAAACUGGGACAAACUGGGACAGACUGGGAUGAACUGGGACAGAGAAAUUGGGCCAAACUGGUCCAAACUGGUCCAGACUGGUCCAGGGAAAUUGGGCCAAACUGGUCCAGACUGGUACAGGAAACGGGGAGUUACUGGUCCAAACUGGUCCAUGGAAAUUGGGCCCAACUGGUCCAAACUGGGACAAACUGGUCCAAAUUGGUCCAGGAAAUUGGGGGAUACUGGUCCAAACUGGGGCAAACUGGUCCAGGGAAAUUGGGCCAAACUGGUCCAAACUGGUCCAGGAAACUGGGAAUUACUGGGCCAAACUGGUCCAGACUGGUGCAGGAAACUGGGGGAAACUGGGCCAAACUGGUCCAAACUGGGACAAACUGGUGCAGGAAAUUGGGAGUUACUGGUCCAAACUGGUCCAGGAAACUGGGAGAGAUUGGGCCAAACUGGUCCAAACUGGUCCAAACUGGUCCAUGGAAAUUGGGCCAAACUGGGCCAAACUGGUGCAGGAAAGCUGGAGUUACUGGGCCAGACUGGUCCAUGGAAAUUGGGCCAAACUGGUCCAAAUUGGUCCAUGGAAAUUGGGCCAAACUGGUCCAAACUGGGACAAACUGGUCCAGGAAACUGGGAAUUACUGGGCCAAACUGAUCCAAGCUGGUCCAAACUGGUCCAGGAAACUGGGGGAGACUGGUCCCGUAUCAGGGAGGGAACUGGUCUGGACUGGGCCAAACUGAUCCAAACUGGUCCAGGGAAAUUGGAUCAAACUGGUCCAAACUGGUCCAGACUGGUGCAGGAAACUGGGGGAUACUGGGCCAAACUGGUCCAAACUGGUCCAGGGAAAUUGGGCCAAACUGGUCCAAACUGGUCCAGACUGGUCCAGACUGGUCCAAACUGGUCCAAACUGGUCCAAACUGGUCCGUACUGGUGGGACACCCCGGGGGUCCCAUCCCCCCCUUUAAGGCACUGGGACCCCCCGGGGGGUUGGGGGGGAGGGGCAAAAUGGGGCAAAAAAAGGAGAAAAAGGGAAAAAGGAAAAAUGGGGAAAAAAUUGUUCAAAAAAAGGACAAAAAAAGACAAAAAAGGGCAAAAAAUGACAAAAAAAGGACAAAAAAGGACAAAAAUUACAAAAAAGUCAAAAAAUGACAAAAAAAGACAAAAAAAGGACAAAAAAAGGACAAAAAAGGACAAAAAAGUCAAAAAAGGACAAAAAAGGCAAAAAAAGACAAAAAAGGACAAAAAAAUGGCAAAAAGGACAAAAAAGGACAAAAAAGGACAAAAAAUAACCAAAAAAGGAAAAAAAAGGACAAAAAAGGACAAAAAGGGACAAAAAAGGACAAAAAAGGACAAAAAGGAACAAAAAAAGGACAAAAAAAGGACAAAAAAGUUAAAAAAUGACAAAAAAAGUCAAAAAAGGACAAAAAAAAAGACAAAAAAGGACAAAAAAGGGACCAAAAAAAGGGACAAAAAAAAGGGACAAAAAAGGGCAAAAAAAGACAAAAAAUGA